UAGGGAAUCUUCGGCAAUGGACGGAAGUCUGACCGAGCAACGCCGCGUGAGUGAAGAAGGUUUUCGGAUAGUAAAGCUCUGUUGUAAGAGAAGAACGAGUGUGAGAGUGGAAAGUUCACACUGUGACGGUAUCUUACCAGAAAGGGACGGCUAACUACGCGCCAGCAGCCGCGGUAAUACGUAGGUCCCGAGCGUCGUCCGGAUUUAUUGGGCGUAAAGCGCCUGUAGGUGGUUAUGUUAGUAUGAUGUGAAAAUGCAGGGCUCAACUCUGUAUUGCGUUGGAAACUGUAUGACUAGAGUAGAGGAGAGGUAAGCGGAACUACAAGUGUAGAGGUGAAAUUCGUAGAUAUUUGUAGGAAUGCCGAUGGGGAAGCCAGCUUACUGGACAGAUACUGACGAUAAAGCGCGAAAGCGUGGGUAGCAAACAGGAUUAGAUACCCUGGUAGUCCACUCCGUAAACGAUGAUUACUAGGUGUUGGGGGUCGAACCUCAGCGCCCAAGCUAACGCGAUAAGUAAUCCGCCUGGGGAGUACGUACGCAAGUAUG
Molecule: ribosomal RNA, 546 nt
Filed under: uncultured bacterium
Lineage: Bacteria
Description: bacterial SSU rRNA
Rfam family: Bacterial small subunit ribosomal RNA
Source: RNAcentral